GGGUGCUUAGCUCAGCUGGUAGAGCGUCGCCCUUACAAGGCGAAGGUCACAGGUUCGAGCCCUGUAGCACCCACCA
This 76-nucleotide transfer RNA is filed under the name Betaproteobacteria bacterium RIFCSPLOWO2_02_64_14. RNAcentral describes it as "tRNA-Val". It matches the Rfam family "tRNA". Rfam says of the family: Transfer RNA (tRNA) molecules are approximately 80 nucleotides in length. Their secondary structure includes four short double-helical elements and three loops (D, anti-codon, and T loops). Further hydrogen bonds mediate the characteristic L-shaped molecular structure. tRNAs have two regions of fundamental functional importance: the anti-codon, which is responsible for specific mRNA codon recognition, and the 3' end, to which the tRNAs corresponding amino acid is attached (by aminoacyl-tRNA synthetases). tRNAs cope with the degeneracy of the genetic code in two manners: having more than one tRNA (with a specific anti-codon) for a particular amino acid; and 'wobble' base-pairing, i.e. permitting non-standard base-pairing at the 3rd anti-codon position. Lineage: Bacteria; Pseudomonadati; Pseudomonadota; Betaproteobacteria. The record is from RNAcentral.